CAGCAGCCGCGGUAAUACGUAGGUGGCAAGCGUUGCCCGGAUUUAUUGGGCGUAAAGCGAGUGCAGGCGGUUCAAUAAGUCUGAUGUGAAAGCCUUCGGCUCAACCGGAGAAUUGCAUCAGAAACUGUUGAACUUGAGUGCAGAAGAGGAGAGUGGAACUCCAUGUGUAGCGGUGGAAUGCGUAGAUAUAUGGAAGAACACCAGUGGCGAAGGCGGCUCUCUGGUCUGCAGCUGACGCUGAGGCUCGAAAGCAUGGGUAGCGAACAGGAUUAGAUACCCUGGUAGUCCAUGCCGUAAACGAUGAGUGCUAAGUGUUGGGAGGUUUCCGCCUCUCAGUGCUGCAGCUAACGCAUUAAGCACUCCGCCUGGGGAGUACGACCGCAAGGUUGAAACUCAAAGGAAUUGACGGGGGCCCGCACAAGCGGUGGAGCAUGUGGUUUAAUUCGAGGCAACGCGAAGAACCUUACCUGGCCUUGACAUGCCGAGAACUUUCCAGAGAUGGAUUGGUGCCUUCGGGAACUCAGACACAGGUGCUGCAUGGCUGUCGUCAGCUCGUGUCGUGAGAUGUUGGGUUAAGUCCCGCAACGAGCGCAACCCUUAUUGUUAGUUGCCAUCAUUGAGUUGGGCACUCUAGCGAGACUGCCGGUAAUAAACCGGAGGAAGGUGGGGAUGACGUCAAGUCAUCAUGCCCCUUAUGACCUGGGCUACACACGUGCUACAAUGGGCAGUACAACGAGAAGCGAGCCUGCGAAGGCAAGCGAAUCUCUGAAAGCUGUUCUCAGUUCGGACUGCAGUCUGCAACUCGACUGCACGAAGCUGGAAUCGCUAGUAAUCGCGGAUCAGCACGCCGCGGUGAAUACGUUCCCGAGCCUUGUACACACCGCCCGUCACACCGUGGGAGCCUGUAACACCCAAAGCCGGUGGGAUAACCUUUAUAGGAGUCAGCCGUCUAAGGUAGGACAGAUGAUUAGGGUGAAGUCGUAACAAGGUAGCCGUA
This 997-nucleotide ribosomal RNA is filed under the name uncultured bacterium. RNAcentral describes it as "bacterial SSU rRNA". It matches the Rfam family "Bacterial small subunit ribosomal RNA", at positions 509 to 1504 of the family's 1533-position model. The record is from RNAcentral.